CCUUGACUUAGUUGCCAGCAUUCAGUUGGGCACUCUAAGGUGACUGCCGGUGACAAACCGGAGGAAGGUGGGGAUGACGUCAAAUCAUCAUGCCCCUUAUGACCUGGGCUACACACGUGCUACAAUGGAUGGUACAAAGGGCUGCGAAGCCGCGAGGUGAAGCCAAUCCCAUAAAACCAUUCUCAGUUCGGAUUGCAGGCUGCAACUCGCCUGCAUGAAGCCGGAAUCGCUAGUAAUCGCGGAUCAGCAUGCCGCGGUGAAUACGUUCCCGGGCCUUGUACACACCGCCCGUCACACCACGAGAGUUUGUAACACCCGAAGUCGGUGGGGUAACCGUAAGGAGCCACCCGCCUAAGGUGGGACAGAUAAUUGGGGUGAAGUC
Molecule: ribosomal RNA, 382 nt
Filed under: Bacillus sp. 1739
Lineage: Bacteria; Bacillati; Bacillota; Bacilli; Caryophanales; Bacillaceae
Description: bacterial SSU rRNA
Rfam family: Bacterial small subunit ribosomal RNA
Source: RNAcentral